Molecule: long non-coding RNA, 722 nt
Organism: Oreochromis niloticus (Nile tilapia)
Lineage: Eukaryota; Metazoa; Chordata; Actinopteri; Cichliformes; Cichlidae
Exons: 2
Source: RefSeq, a predicted model, not a curated record
CUUCCACAGUGGAUUUAAACCUUACAACUGUGAGUUGUGUGGAAAGUCUUUUAACUGGGCUGGAAACUUAAAAAGACACCAACUCAUCCACAGUGUAGUUAAAUCUUACAGCUGUGAGUUGUGUGGUAAGACUUUGGCUCAAAAUACCAACUUACAGAGGCAUCUAGUUACCCACUCUGGAAUUAAGGCGUACAGCUGCGACUUUUGUGGAAAAAGUUUCCGCGACAAACACUACCGAAAUAUUCACCUGCGGAUUCACACUGGAAAUGAUGUUUACUGCUGUGAUCAGUGUGGGAAACCAUUUACAACAGAUGCACAGUUACAACAACACAUGUUUAGCCACACUGAGGAGAGACCUUACAAAUGUGACCUGUGUGAGAAGACCUUUAAAUCUCCAUAUCACCUGAAAAAACACCAACAGAUCCACACCAGAAAGUAACUCUAGAAGUGCAGUUACUGUGAGAAGUAGAGCAACGCACAUGGAUCCAUUUCUCAACCCUGUCGUCACUGUGGUGGUGGGAAAGAGUUUCUCUGUGACCUUUGUGGAAAAACCUUCAGUCAUGAACGGGACCUAAAACCACAUCAACGUAGACACUGGAGGCAAAAUGAACUACUGCAAAGAAUGUGGGAGAGGCUUCCACAAACCAUAUAUACAUGAACUCUUCCACAGUGGGGUCAAGAAGCACAUAUGUGACCAGUGUGGGUCAUCCUUCACCACUGCA